CUCAGUAACACGUCGGUAACCUACCCUCGGGAGGGGGAUAACCCCGGGAAACUGGGGCUAAUCCCCCAUAGGCCUGAGGUACUGGAAGGUCCUCAGGCCGAAAGGGGCUCUGCCCGCCCGAGGAUGGGCCGGCGGCCGAUUAGGUAGUUGGUGGGGUAACGGCCCACCAAGCCGAAGAUCGGUACGGGCCAUGAGAGUGGGAGCCCGGAGAUGGACACUGAGACACGGGUCCAGGCCCUACGGGGCGCAGCAGGCGCGAAACCUCCGCAAUGCGGGCAACCGCGACGGGGGGACCCCCAGUGCCGUGGCAUCGCCACGGCUUUUCCGGAGUGUAAAGAGCUCCGGGAAUAAGGGCUGGGCAAGGCCGGUGGCAGCCGCCGCGGUAAUACCGGCGGCCCGAGUGGUGGCCGCUAUUAUUGGGCCUAAAGCGUCCGUAGCCGGGCCCGUAAGUCCCUGGCGAAAUCCCACGGCUCAACCGUGGGGCUUGCUGGGGAUACUGCGGGCCUUGGGACCGGGAGAGGCGGAGGGUACUCCUGGGGUAGGGGUGAAAUCCUAUAAUCCCAGGAGGACCGCCAGUGGCGAAGGCGCUCCGCUGGAACGGGUCCGACGGUGAGGGACGAAGGCCAGGGGAGCGAACCGGAUUAGAUACCCGGGUAGUCCUGGCUGUAAAGGAUGCGGGCUAGGUGUCGGGC
RNAcentral lists this ribosomal RNA (692 nucleotides) under Thermococcus sp. AV14. Its description in RNAcentral is "bacterial SSU rRNA". It matches the Rfam family "Archaeal small subunit ribosomal RNA", at positions 89 to 779 of the family's 1478-position model. The record is from RNAcentral. Lineage: Archaea; Methanobacteriati; Methanobacteriota; Thermococci; Thermococcales; Thermococcaceae.